AGCUGGUCCAAUGUUAAUGGGUUGUCAGAACUUAAAUUAACAUUAGCGUCACUAAAGUUGAUAUACAACCCCCCACUGCUACAUUUGACUGGCUUGAA
RNAcentral lists this Y RNA (98 nucleotides) under Carlito syrichta (Philippine tarsier). Its description in RNAcentral is "Y RNA (ENSTSYG00000021930.2)". It matches the Rfam family "Y RNA". From Rfam's summary of the family: Y RNAs are components of the Ro ribonucleoprotein particle (Ro RNP), in association with Ro60 and La proteins. The Y RNAs and Ro60 and La proteins are well conserved, but the function of the Ro RNP is not known. In humans the RNA component can be one of four small RNAs -- hY1, hY3, hY4 and hY5. The record is from Rfam by way of RNAcentral. Lineage: Eukaryota; Metazoa; Chordata; Mammalia; Primates; Tarsiidae.